CCAGAGUCUACACUCUGGCCUCCUUAAUCCCGAGGGAAAAUGUCAAUUGACAUUUAUCAUUUAGCUUGAGCAGCUGUUUUUCCUCUAGCACAGACAUUUUAGUCCCUACCCACAUGUUUACUCCAAAGUGGGCAAACAAAGAGACAGCCAGAGCCUUGUUUUUCUCACCCCCCAAGUGCUGUGACGGCGUUUGCAUUUCCUGCUUUGCUCAGGCCGGCGGCUGAGUUUGCAACCUUUGCUAUUGACAAAGACUCUGGUCUCCCUCCCUGCCUUCUCUCCCCCUCACCUCUUUCUCCAUUGUACCCUCUCCUCCCACCUUCGGUUCACUUGAAGACUAGUGUUUAUGGCAUUGCUGUGAGGCUGAAUAACUUCAGGACCACUGAAUCCUCAAUCUUCAGAAAAGAUUCAACCAACUGUGAAUCCCGUGCUAUGUUUACCAUCAGAGGUUGGUGAAGCUGCAGAUGUGGAACCACUGGAUACAGAGAGCUGACUAUGGAACUUGAGCAUCAUCAGAUUUUGUAUCUGCUGUGGGUCCUGGAACCAAUCCCCUAAGGCUACCAAGGUACGACUGUAUCAUAAAAUAGUGAUGAGAAAUGCUGACUUAUCUUGAGAAGAACUUAAGUAUUCAGCCAAGUGCCGUCUCUCAUCAUGGACUCAUAGGAUCCAAGCUUCCAGUUGUUGCAGGAAUUGAAAGUUGAUGUGAUAAAGUCCCAAUGCUGUAACGGAAAUAGUAUUCCAAAAAGUGAGAGAAGUUGAGGACUACCUCAAGAUGCAAACAUGAAAGAUUUGUCACAAUUUACUUAUUCUUUGCUUUCUUUUAGGGAUGGAACAAGAUUAAAGGUCAACCCAUGAAGAAAAUAAUAUAGUUGGCUUCCUCCCUCAUCCAAUUCCAUGUUUUCAUUUCCCACAUUAAACAUUUUUGACAUUUAUAUUCACAUGGAAUUGAUUUUGAGAAUAAAGAGACCAUUCUAAUCAUACUGUAUUCCAAAUGGUUAGAACCAAUAUACCAUUUAUGUAAUAAAGCUUUCUAUUUCCACUAGUUUGAAAUUCGUAUUAUACCAUAUACCUCUUGACCUAAAACAAAUAGGCUGCCAGUUAUUUCUCCAGCAAA
This 1111-nucleotide long non-coding RNA is filed under the name Sus scrofa (pig). Its description in RNAcentral is "lncRNA (ENSSSCG00060047374.1)". The record is from RNAcentral. Lineage: Eukaryota; Metazoa; Chordata; Mammalia; Artiodactyla; Suidae.